This 254-nucleotide ribosomal RNA is filed under the name uncultured bacterium. RNAcentral's name for it is "partial 16S ribosomal RNA". It matches the Rfam family "Bacterial small subunit ribosomal RNA", at positions 524 to 776 of the family's 1533-position model. The record is from RNAcentral.
UACGUAGGGUGCAAGCGUUGUCCGGAAUUAUUGGGCGUAAAGCGUCCGUAGAUGGUCGUUUCAAGUCUGCUGUCAAAGACCGGGGCUUAACCCCAGAAAGGCGGUGGAAACUGAACAGCUAGAGAGAGGUAGGGGUAGAGGGAAUUCCCAGUGUAGCGGUGAAAUGCGUAGAUAUUGGGAAGAACAUCAGUGGCGAAAGCGCUCUACUGGACCUUAUCUGACAUUGAGGGACGAAAGCUAGGGGAGCGAAUGGG